GGCGAACGGGUGAGUAACACGUAGGUAACCUGUCCUUCAAGACGAGGAUAACCAUUGGAAACGAUGGAUAAUACUGGAUAGGACAAAUCCCCGCAAUGAGGAGAUGUUUAAAGGAGCAAUCCACUUGAUGAGGGGCCUGCGGUGCGAUUAGUUAGUUGGUGAGGUAACGGCCACCAAGACGAUGAUGCAUAGCCGGACUGAGAGGUUGAACGGCCACAAUGGAACUGAGAACGGUCCAUACUCCUACGGGAGGCAGCAGUAGGGAAUUUUCGGCAAUGGGCGGAAGCCUGACCGAGCAAUGCCGCGUGAAUGAAGAAGUAUUUCGGUAUGUAAAGUUCUUUUAUUUGGGAAGAAAAAACAAAUUGACGGUACCAAAUGAAUAAGCUCCGGCUAACUACGUGCCAGCCGCGGC
This 412-nucleotide ribosomal RNA is filed under the name uncultured bacterium. RNAcentral describes it as "bacterial SSU rRNA". It matches the Rfam family "Bacterial small subunit ribosomal RNA", at positions 97 to 518 of the family's 1533-position model. The record is from RNAcentral.